RNAcentral lists this ribosomal RNA (253 nucleotides) under uncultured bacterium. RNAcentral describes it as "partial 16S ribosomal RNA". It matches the Rfam family "Bacterial small subunit ribosomal RNA", at positions 524 to 776 of the family's 1533-position model. The record is from RNAcentral.
GACGUAGGGGGCGAGCGUUGUCCGGAUUCAUUGGGCGUAAAGCGCGCGCAGGCGGCUCGGAAAGUCGGGUGUGAAAAUCCGGGGCUCAACCCCGGACGUGCAUCCGAUACUCCCGAGCUAGAGGCAGGUAGGGGAGAGUGGAAUUCCCGGUGUAGCGGUGAAAUGCGUAGAUAUCAGGAGGAACACCGGUGGUGUAGACGGCUUUCUGGACCGUAACUGACGCUGAGACACGAAAGCGUGGGUAGCAAACAGG